This 484-nucleotide ribosomal RNA is filed under the name uncultured organism. Its description in RNAcentral is "bacterial SSU rRNA". It matches the Rfam family "Bacterial small subunit ribosomal RNA", at positions 28 to 507 of the family's 1533-position model. The record is from RNAcentral.
GAUGAACGCUAGCGGCGGGCCUAAUACAUGCAAGUCGAACGGGAUUGUUGGUAGCAAUACUGACAUGAGAGUGGCGCACGGGUGCGUAACACGUAUGUAACCUACCUCUAACUGGGGAAUAGCUUCGAGAAAUCGAAAUUAAUACCCCAUAAUGUUUAGAAAAGGCAUCUUUUCUUUACCAAAGCUCCGACGGUUAGAGAUGGACAUGCGGUGCAUUAGCUAGUUGGUGAGGUAAUGGCUCACCAAGGCUUCGAUGCAUAGGGGGUCUGAGAGGAUGAUCCCCCACACUGGUACUGAGACACGGACCAGACUCCUACGGGAGGCAGCAGUAGGGAAUAUUGGGCAAUGGACGAAAGUCUGACCCAGCCACGCCGCGUGAAGGAUGACUGCCCUAUGGGUUGUAAACUUCUUUUGUAUGGGAAGAAACCUCCGAACGUGUUCGGAGCUGACGGUACCAUAAGAAUAAGCAUCGGCUAACUCCGUG